ACAUGCCUUUUCUUCUUUCUUACUUAUUUGUUGCAUAAUCUGCCCUUGUUUCAUCUUCAUGUCUAUUUUUACAGUGAUGGACAUCAGGAUCUUCAAACCUAAAUGAUGAUGUUUCAGAGGGAUGUUUGUACUAGGGCUGGGCAAUUAAUAUAAUUUUGAUCGCGAUUUUCCAAACUAAUAUAAUCCAGUUUACAUUUAUUCAUGAAAUAGCUGGAUACAUUGUUGUAUGUAUUAUUUUCUAUUUGAACAUUCUGUGUUUUUUUUGGAGAUAAAUGCUGAAUAAAUGCAUAUUGUUUUCAAACUCAAAAAUAAUCGUUUGAAUAAUCGUGAUUUCAAUUUUGGCAAAUAAUCGUUUGAAUAAUCGUGAUUUAGAUUUUUUCCAUAGUCAAGCAGACCUUGUACUUACUCAAAGUCUGAAACACCGUCACUUCACCUGUCGCACUGUGAGCAUGCAGUGAUUGGUUACUGCCCCGGCCACCUGAGUUCAUGGUGAUUCGUGGCUUCUUGGCUUCGUACCGAGGAGUGUAAAAAUAACAUUCAAUUGGAUUGCAGGAUUAGAAAGAAAUCGAUUAGACUGAAGUUACAUGACAUUGAAAUAGAUUUCAUCAAAACAUUGUUUCCUUAUACUUGCAGUUGCUGCACACCUUUUCAUAAACCUUAAUAACACUUUCUUAACACUUAAUUAACAUUAACACUCAACAUUAUGGGUUUGUGGUCUGAGCUACCUAGACUACAUGAUGUGUGACGUGGAGGCAUCUUCUUCAUGCAGCUCGUUAAAGAAGCGUAACAUGUAAUAGACAGCCAACACAGGAACAUAAUCCUAAUGACGUUUAUUUGGAACCACAAUUAAAUAUCAUAUUGUGAAGGGUCUACUCUACGCAAACGGAGCGAAGGCUGUCCAAAAGCAAUUAAAGACAGGAUUACCGGCUGGGCCUCAAAAUGGGCUGUAAAAAAAACAACAAAAGACGGAGCUACCGGGUCUUAUCCACCACAAGCAUUGAUCUGAAUAACUAUAAUGACUAUUCUAACUAAUAACUAGAUA
This is a long non-coding RNA of Gadus macrocephalus (Pacific cod), 1042 nucleotides long. RefSeq lists it as uncharacterized. The record is from RefSeq and is a predicted model, not a curated record. Lineage: Eukaryota; Metazoa; Chordata; Actinopteri; Gadiformes; Gadidae. The transcript has 2 exons.